GUGUAAUUCAUAAAGUCAAAAUGGCUCAGAAUGUAAAAACUGGAUGGUCACAGCCCGCAAAUCCCAGUGAUGAUUUAAUCUGAUCAUAUCUAAACAAAAAGAGCUCUCAGCCAUGCUUGUAGCUGUUUCCAUUGCUCAACAGACAUUCUAGGCUUCACAGUGACACACAGACAGAUUGACAAUCCUGGAAUCUUAUUAUAUAGAUUCUACAGUAUUUCUAUCUAUCAAACAGAAAAUAAUGGAAGUGAAGAAUAAAAAGGCAACCAGACUACAUGACCCGCCCAUCUCCGCUUUGCGUCGUACAUCGCCUGCACUACAUCGGUCACCUCUGUACACCUGAUCUCCUCAUUCGGCCCACUGACUCAGUCACUCUUCUUUUUGUGGAUGAACCUGCAUCUUUUCUUGACUGGAAGAUAGGAGAGCUCAAGAGGAUGACUAGAGACGGUGUUAAAAUAGAACUGCAGUUCUAUUUUGCUGCUCCCAAGAAGACUCAGGUUUCCUUGUGGUUUGUUUUCCGCUCUGCAAUUUGUUGCUGCUUCACAUCCAAUUCUGCACCCAACUGCAAAUAGGCUGAGCAGACAAGGCUCUGUCUCUGCACUCAGCAUGUAGGUGGUACAUGUACAUACCAGAAGAGAGUGACUCCAAGAGAUGAUGUCCCUUGUUUUCUCAUCCAGACUACAGGCACAUACUCCAGACGUACCUGUACCGGUGUUUUUAGGACUGGAGACACAAUUUCCAGAAUAUGAACACAGAAAUGAACCACUCCUCUGAAAGCUUCCAUUCCCUCUAUUGUCACUGAUAGCGACAACAUGCAUCAGAGAUGCAAAAAUCUCUCCCUCAGCUCAGAAUAAAUGUCAUGUCUACAGUCCUGGUUGGAUGAAUAAAGCAUUGCUCUUUAUGGUACAUUUCCAAUAAUGAACAUCCUUUAAUGUGAACUAGUCCACUACAUACAAUCUGUGCAAUAGCUUUGAAAUACAUUAGAUAGUAGGAUGUAAAGAUAUAGUUCUACCUUGUUUUUUGGGCAAGCGGAGCAAGGUGGUACACUGAACUGAGUGGCAUUUCUCUGUCUGUCCUGGAAAUUUUCUAGGCAUCAAUAGCCAACACCCAAUUGCUUUUUGUGAAAAUUCACACCUGGAAGGGGAAAAUGGGGGACAGCAGGAGUUCCUUGUAUCAGGUUAGCCAUGAACACAUUCUAGCAUAACA
Mauremys reevesii (Reeves's turtle) is the source of this 1203-nucleotide long non-coding RNA. RefSeq lists it as uncharacterized. The transcript is spliced from 3 exons. NCBI's taxonomy places the organism in Eukaryota, Metazoa, Chordata, Testudines, Geoemydidae. The record is from RefSeq and is a predicted model, not a curated record.